This 50-nucleotide ribosomal RNA is filed under the name Gnomoniopsis sanguisorbae. RNAcentral's name for it is "partial 28S ribosomal RNA". The record is from RNAcentral. Lineage: Eukaryota; Fungi; Ascomycota; Sordariomycetes; Diaporthales; Gnomoniaceae.
AAUUGACCUCGGAUCAGGUAGGAAUACCCGCUGAACUUAAGCAUAUCAUA